GUCUACAGCCAUACCACCCUGAACAUGCCUGAUCUCGUCUGAUCUUGGAAGCUAAGCAGAGUUAGGCAGCAGUUAGUAACUGGAAGGGAGAAUCAUAUUGUCAGCAAACA
Molecule: ribosomal RNA, 110 nt
Filed under: Prolemur simus (greater bamboo lemur)
Lineage: Eukaryota; Metazoa; Chordata; Mammalia; Primates; Lemuridae
Source: RNAcentral